AAUAACUGUAUCCUGUCUCUUGCAAUUCUGAAGUGUCGAACAUAAGACCUAGGUACGCUAGAUGAAAAAUCGAGAGAGCCGAAAAGGCCAAAUUUACUGCAGUGACCCACCAACAAUUAGCUGCAAUUCUUUGAUGGGAACACUUAUUAUCUGGACAUUUUUUGGAUGUUAUGCAGGCGUCAAAAACGGUCGACAAUACAGAUCUUAUUUCGAAUUCUAUGAAAAAUGGAUUUUAAAAACCUACAUGUUUUCAACCAAGAGUGCAUUGGGAUAUUCCAGGAAAUGACGACCUGAACUAGCGAUCUCGGAAAUUCAAUUUCCAUUGGUUUUGUAAUCGUAGUCCGAGCGAAUGGCAAACCCCCAAGAAGUAAAAUCGACGAUGAUGUAUAUGAUACGAAAUAAUGAGACAUUCUAAACGAUAAAGCGUCUCUGUAUGCUUGGAGCCAUCUGAAAAUAAAAUGUUUACAAUUUUAAAAUUUAUUUAUGUAAAUACAGAUUAUUUUAAGUAGUAGUGAAUGUACUGGCACGAAGAGUGCAAUGACACAUUAAAUUUCAAACAUUUUUGAAACCAUAA
This is a long non-coding RNA of Belonocnema kinseyi, 574 nucleotides long. RefSeq lists it as uncharacterized. NCBI's taxonomy places the organism in Eukaryota, Metazoa, Arthropoda, Insecta, Hymenoptera, Cynipidae. The transcript has 2 exons. The record is from RefSeq and is a predicted model, not a curated record.